CAUCAUUGGGAUGAAUAACAUUUUACUUGUUUUACAGAAUUUUGUUUUCUUUAUAUACUUAGUUACACCAUCAAUGCUACUGACGAAGUUUUCUGAUUACACAACUACGGCAAAAUGUGUUUCAUAUUUUCAGCCAUUUGGGGGUGCUUCAAGGGUGUCUGUUGCUGCUGCUGUGGAACAGCUUUCUUCGCGUGUUGCCCAUGUUGCGCUGAAGUCGCCUGCUGUGUUGCUUGCUGUAAAUGUUGUUGUUGCUGUUGUUGGGAUGGCGACGAUUAGAAUGUAACUGGAUUAUUCUCCGAAAACAUUAGACUCUUUUGGACUGCAUACUGUUAGGAAUAUGUGCUUUUUAGUAGCUGAUUUAUUAGGUUUUCAAUUGAUUUUAGUGUGUUAACUAGAAUAUGGAUCUAGCCGUGGAAUUCUUUGUUAAUGCUUGAUAUAUGUUGGAAUAGCCCUCUAAUUAGUCAAUGUAUGCGGAAAUCAGUUAUGGGCCGGGUUUGGCUAAAAUUAGUGUCUGGAAAUUUAUCUAGCCUAGUGCCUUCAUUGCGACUCUAGUCGUGUUAUUAAAGUCAAAACGCACUGAUUUUUAUUCCUUGAGUAACAUUUGCUAUUUUGUGUCGUCUUAGCUGUCUGUAUUUUGUCUCUCUAUCCAAUACCAAAUUGUACAAAUAUUUGAGCCUUUUAAUAGCGUUUGUUUAAAAAAUAUUGGUCCAAAUUCAUUCAUGACGUUUUUUUUAAAGUCGUCUUAUGCUUUUUUCAUUUAACAGCUUUUGCUGUUAUAUUCAUCAUGAUUAACCCAACGUGUGAACAACUUUACAAUAUGCUACUAAGUUUGAUCGAGUUUCCCAAAAUCAUGACAUCAAAAUUCGCUCUAAUUUUUUUUUUAAUGCUUUGUGCAUCCUUACAUUUAUUGGACAACAUUUUAUAGUUACGUAUAUGUAAAGGUAGUGAAAUUUUAGUAUUAUUAGCUUGUAGUAUACAGUAGUUGUGAUUGUAAAAUAAUAUGUUUUUGUUCAAUUUCAUAGUUUUAGUAGUAUUUGCAGAGUUGAAUAAAUAAAAUUGACUAUUAUAAACUAACUUUAAAUUUUAGACGCUAUAAUGAAUUUAUUUGACCAAAUUGUUUUUGUAGGUAGCACUAAUCAUCUAUUUUGUGAAUUAAUGAACUAAUCGCUUUCAACUUUUUAGUAGUUCACAGAAAACAGUAGUCUACUUCUAUGUUUUUUCGUCUUAUUUUGUUCAAAAUCCCAGGCCUUUUUGUUUCACUCCUAAAUUUGGUUGUUUUAUAAUGCGCCACAGCCCAGAUAUUUUUCUUCCCAAACUUGUCGAGUUUCAGCUCAAGUAACAAUGUAACUUCAAUCACGUUGAAGAUAAAGUACUUCGUGCCCAAAUAAUUGCACCAUGCAUAGCUAGAAACUGCAAUUACUUUUGAAUAAAACCACAUAUCAAUGUAUACAAAAAAAUCGAAUUUUGAUUAUUACUUUAGGAAUAUGACUGUGACUGGCAGUGUUCUGCUUGUAUUGAUUGUAUUUUUUUAAGCGUUGUUGAAAUAAACUGAUGUUUUGGAAUUGUU
This is a long non-coding RNA of Styela clava, 1567 nucleotides long. RefSeq lists it as uncharacterized. The record is from RefSeq and is a predicted model, not a curated record. Lineage: Eukaryota; Metazoa; Chordata; Ascidiacea; Stolidobranchia; Styelidae.